AGAAGUUUGGAUUUUAUUGUGAGGAACUUGAGAAGUCAUCAGAAGGUAUUACACAAGUGAGUGUUAUCACACAGUUUAGAUUUUACAAAGUUCACUUGGCUGCUGUGCAGAAAAUGGAUUGAGAGAUGACAAGAAUGGAAUUAGGAGAUGUUUAAGUCUACUGCAAGGAUCCAUGUAAGAGGUAAUUGACCAGAGCUGGAGUGGUGAGAUGGAGAGAAGCGCUGGAUUGAGUUUCCUUAGAAAUGAAAACAUGUUUAUGAGUUUCUCUGAUGGUUUCCUCAGUGUAAAUUCCUAGAAGUGGAAUUAUUGGGCCAUAACAUUCCUUUCCAAGACUGUAUUGGAGAUUCAAUAAGAUAUGGAAAAAAUACCUAAGACAGUGCCUGGUAGACAGCAGGCACCGGAGAUGGAAGACAGCCCGUCUGCAUUACAGUAGUCCCCCUUGUUGUGGGGGAUACGUUCCAAGACCCCCAGUGGACGCCUGAAACUACCACAGUUGACAGCAGGUUACCAAAACCGCAAAAAGUGAAACCUCAAAUAAGGGGGCACUACUGAAGUUUUGUUCUGCAAAAUGUGGGUUGGAAACCUGCAUAAUGAGUUUUCAUAAGAAAGGCAAGACUUGCUGAUGACCUCUGUGGACUUCAAUUUCUUCCUCUAUUUAUAUGCAAACUAAAUAGUAUGGUCUCUCCUAGUGGGGAAAACUCUGAAAAUUCCAUGCCUCUCUAAUCACAGCCACUAGAGCUCCCAUUUCUCAGAUUCUCUUGCAAAGUGGAUGUCAAGGCAGCUCUCUCCUCUGUAGGAUUGCUACAGAAGGAAGAGAAGCCCCUGGAAGCCUGGCAGAAGCUGCAUUUUCCUCCGUGGCCCCUCCUCCGGAGCUGCGCUGCGCUGCGUGUUGUUGCAGUUGUACUGUACUGUUCUACCGCAUGGAUUCAUAGUUAACAUUUUUCUUCCAGGCACAUUCAAAACAUUUGGCUUGCAUCCUCCUUGAGCUGUUUUAUAAGGGCAAUAACCGAGGCCAGGGUGUGCUCUUGUCAGCAGGCAAAGCACGCAGCGGAGGCUGCCAAAGAGUUUCCUGCUCAGGGGCCACCCAUCCUUGGCUGCAGGACACAAGGCUGGAGCUCAUGGCAACUUGCACAGAGCGAGCGCCGGGACUUUCUGUUCUCAGGGCUCAUGCUUUGGAUUCCAGCCUUCAGCCCUGCUGCAUUGAUCAGUGGAGGCUGUUGUGUUUGUGCUUGUUUGGGACGAGCUCAGAACACAUGUCACAGCAGUGGUUCAAGGCCUAGCUCUAAGGCUUGGAGCUGGGAGAAUGCUCUUUAAAGACUAGCAAGCCGCUCUUCCCGCCUGUUAAUGCAGGCACAGAGUUCCCACGGAUCAGCUGCAGGGGAGAAAGGCAUUCCCUUCAUCCCACUCUCUGUGAAUUAACUUCGGGAAGGACAGACAACACAGACGCCAAAUGGAGGGUUCCAACACUGCUACCCCACCCUCUCUGAAGUCCACCUUGGCAGAAGCGGAUCUCUUCUCAUGUGUUAUUUAUUGCCAAAGACCGUGACCGGGAGAAUCCGCAAUAGAUCCCUGAAGCUGUUUUUUCAGGAUUUCCUUUGAUUGGAAGCUCUUGGCUGUGCCUUCUGCAGCUGGCUCUGUCACAGAGCUGAGGGCUCAGAGUGUCCCCCAAGUGACAGCUGCCAUGCCAGCACAAAGGAGGGUCUGGCUGUGAAAGUGCCUUGAUGCUCUAAAGAACACACAAAUGGACAGGGUAUUGUUACUCCUUCACUCACCAGCAGGGAGGCAAUGCGAUGUCAUGAGCGGAAGGAACACGGGCUCAAGCCCCAGAGACGCAAGUUGAAAUGUCAGCUCUUCCACUGACCCACAGUGUGGGCUUGGUCUCAGUCUUCUCGUCUGUAAAAUGGCAAUGAAAAGAUUUACCCCCAAACUUUCAGCCAAGAAUCAAUAAGACACAGCAUGCAAUGUUCAGCUCCUUUCCUCUAAAUUCCAAACUUAGUCUGGAAAUUUUAAAGCCGUUUAGAUGACCCUAAAUACUUUCUUUAUCUUUUUCAUUUAUCCAUUAUUCAUUCUGUCAGCAUUCAAUAAAUAAGAAAGAAUAUUUCAG
RNAcentral lists this long non-coding RNA (2104 nucleotides) under Equus caballus (horse). RNAcentral's name for it is "lncRNA (ENSECAG00000058943.1)". Lineage: Eukaryota; Metazoa; Chordata; Mammalia; Perissodactyla; Equidae. The record is from RNAcentral.